CAGCAGCCACGGGAAUACGGAGGGUGCAAGCGUUAAUCGGAAUUACUGGGCGUAAAGCGCACGCAGGCGGUCUGACAAGUCAGAUGUGAAAUCCCCGGGCUUAACCUGGGAACUGCAUUUGAAACUGUCAGGCUGGAGUCUUGUAGAGGGGGGUAGAACUCCAGGUGUAGCGGUGAAAUGCGUAGAGAUCUGGAGGAAUACCGGUGGCGAAGGCGGCCCCCUGGACAAAGACUGACGCUCAGGUGCGAAAGCGUGGGGAGCAAACAGGAUUAGAUACCCGCGUAGUCCCUGUCUCUUAUAC
This 301-nucleotide ribosomal RNA is filed under the name uncultured bacterium. Its description in RNAcentral is "partial 16S ribosomal RNA". It matches the Rfam family "Bacterial small subunit ribosomal RNA", at positions 509 to 807 of the family's 1533-position model. The record is from RNAcentral.